This 2915-nucleotide ribosomal RNA is filed under the name Clostridium perfringens. RNAcentral's name for it is "23S ribosomal RNA". It matches the Rfam family "Bacterial large subunit ribosomal RNA". Lineage: Bacteria; Bacillati; Bacillota; Clostridia; Eubacteriales; Clostridiaceae. The record is from RNAcentral.
AUAUAGGUCAAGCUACAAAGGGCGCAUGGUGAAUGCCUUGGCAUCAGGAGCCGAUGAAGGACGUGAUAAGUCGCGAUAAGCUUCGGGUAGGCGCACAUAGCCUGAGAUCCGAAGAUCUCCGAAUGAGGAAACUCACAUGGGAAACCCCAUGUAUCAUUAAGUGAAUACAUAGCUUAAUGAAGGUAACCCAGGGAACUGAAACAUCUAAGUACCUGGAGGAAGAGAAAGAAAAAUCGAUUUUCUUAGUAGCGGCGAGCGAAAGGGAAAGAGCCCAAACCGGAAACUUGUUUCCGGGGUUGUGGACAUAACAUAAAAGUGGAGGCUAUUGUAACUGAAGAGAACUGGAAAGUUCCACCGUAGAAGGUAAUAGUCCUGUAAGUGAAACGAGAAGACCACGAGUUAUGAUCCAGAGUACCACGAGACACGUGAAACCUUGUGGGAAGCAGGGAGGACCACCUCCCAAGGCUAAAUACUACCUGAUGACCGAUAGUGAAGCAGUACCGUGAGGGAAAGGUGAAAAGAACCCCCGGGAGGGGAGUGAAAUAGAACCUGAAACCGUGUGCCUACAACCGCUCAGAGCCCCUUAUGAGGGUGAUGAGGUGCUUUUUGUAGAACGAGCCAACGAGUUACGGUAUGUAGCAAGGUUAAGUACUUAAGGUACGGAGCCGAAGGGAAACCGAGUCUGAAUAGGGCGACUAGUUGCAUGCCGUAGACCCGAAACCGGGUGACCUAUCCAUGGCCAGGUUGAAGCGAGGGUAAAACCUCGUGGAGGACCGAACCACGUUGCUGUUGAAAAAGCAUGGGAUGAGCUGUGGAUAGCGGAGAAAUUCCAAUCGAACCCGGAGAUAGCUGGUUCUCUCCGAAAUAGCUUUAGGGCUAGCGUCGAGUAUGAGUAGUGGAGGUAGAGCACUGAAUGGGCUAGGGGGCAUAGCGCUUACCGAACCUUAUCAAACUCCGAAUGCCACAUACUUUGAGCUCGGCAGUCAGACUACGAAUGAUAAGAUCCGUGGUCAAAAGGGAAACAGCCCAGAUCGUCAGCUAAGGUCCCAAAGUGUAAGUUAAGUGGGAAAGGAUGUGAGAUUUCUAAGACAACUAGGAUGUUGGCUUAGAAGCGACCAUUCAUUAAAAGAGUGCGUAAUAGCUCACUAGUCGAGAGAUCUUGCGCCGAAAAUGUAACGGGGCUAAACUUACCACCGAAGCUACGGGCUUGAACUUAGUUCAAGCGGUAGGAGAGCGUCGUAACCGGGCUGAAGUCGUACCGUAAGGAGCGGUGGACUGGUUACGAGUGAGAAUGUUGGCAUCAGUAGCGAGAUGUGGGUGAGAAUCCCACAGGCCGAAAACCUAAGGUUUCCUCAGGAAGGUUCGUCCGCUGAGGGUUAGUCGGGACCUAAGCCGAGGCCGAAAGGCGUAGGUGAUGGACAACUGGUUGAUAUUCCAGUACCACUACCAUCGUUAUUAUCGAUGGCGUGACGCAGGAGGAUAGUGUGUGCUAGCUAUUGGAUGCUAGUCUAAGCGUUUAGGCAGUGAGAGUAGGCAAAUCCGCUCUCAUAAUGCUGAGGCGUGAUGGGGAAGGUUCCACGGAACCGAAGUACAUGAUUCCACGCCGCCAAGAAAAGCGUCUAGAGAGAGAAGUAGUGCCCGUACCGCAAACCGACACAGGUAGGUGAGGAGAGAAUCCUAAGGCCGGCGGAAGAAUUACAGUUAAGGAACUCGGCAAAUUGACCCCGUAAGUUCGCGAGAAGGGGUGCCUACGAGAGUAGGCCGCAGAGAAUAGGCCCAAGCAACUGUUUAGCAAAAACACAGGUCUCUGCUAAAGCGUAAGCUGAUGUAUAGGGGCUGACGCCUGCCCGGUGCUGGAAGGUUAAGGGGAACACUUAGCGCAAGCGAAGGUGUGAACUUAAGCCCCAGUAAACGGCGGCCGUAACUAUAACGGUCCUAAGGUAGCGAAAUUCCUUGUCAGGUAAGUUCUGACCCGCACGAAUGGCGUAAUGACUUGGGCACUGUCUCAACUGUAAAUCCGGCGAAGUUGUAGUGCGAGUGAAGAUGCUCGCUACCCGCGAUUGGACGGAAAGACCCCCCGUAGAGCUUUACUGUAGCUUAGCAUUGAGUUUUGGUAUUGUCUGUACAGGAUAGGUGGGAGACUAGGAAACCAGGGCGUCAGCCUUGGUGGAGUCAACCUUGGGAUACCACCCUGACAGUACUGAAAUUCUAACUGGCGGCCAUGAAUCUGGUCACAGGACAUUGUUAGGUGGGCAGUUUGACUGGGGCGGUCGCCUCCUAAAAAGUAACGGAGGCGCCCAAAGGUUCCCUCAGAACGGUCGGAAAUCGUUCGAAGAGUGCAAAGGCAGAAGGGAGCCUGACUGCGACACCCACAAGUGGAGCAGGGACGAAAGUCGGGCUUAGUGAUCCGGUGGUACCUCGUGGGAGGGCCAUCGCUCAACGGAUAAAAGCUACCUCGGGGAUAACAGGCUGAUCUCCCCCAAGAGUCCACAUCGACGGGGAGGUUUGGCACCUCGAUGUCGGCUCGUCGCAUCCUGGGGCUGAAGUAGGUCCCAAGGGUUGGGCUGUUCGCCCAUUAAAGCGGCACGCGAGCUGGGUUCAGAACGUCGUGAGACAGUUCGGUCCCUAUCCGUCGCGGGCGUAGGAAAUUUGAGAGGAGCUGUCCUUAGUACGAGAGGACCGGGAUGGACUGACCUCUGGUGUACCAGUUGUUCCGCCAGGAGCACAGCUGGGUAGCUAAGUCGGGAAUGGAUAAACGCUGAAAGCAUCUAAGCGUGAAGCCAACCUCAAGAUGAGAUUUCCCAUAGCGUAAGCUAGUAAGAUCCCUUGAAGAACACAAGGUUGAUAGGUCGGGGGUGUAAGCAUGGUAACAUGUUCAGCUGACCGAUACUAAUAGAUCGAGGGCUUGACCAAAU